This 801-nucleotide long non-coding RNA is filed under the name Sorghum bicolor (sorghum). RNAcentral describes it as "long non-coding RNA (SBIC_LNC001697)". The record is from RNAcentral. Lineage: Eukaryota; Viridiplantae; Streptophyta; Magnoliopsida; Poales; Poaceae.
CCUUCCCUAUGGGCGGGGUGGGGUGGCCGCCCCAGCUAUCGGCGCCGUAGAAGCAGACCCCAAGACCUCAUCUUCGCCGUUCUUCUCUAUCUCCGGCGAGCGGCGAUGAACCACGACGACGCAAGGUGAGCGAGCGGCAUGAACAACGCGAGGACAAUGCAGUAUUAGCUAAUUCUUGAUGGGCUUUAUUAUUUUGUUCAGCCCACUCCCAGCUCCCGUGUGACUCUACCGCCGCUAUCCCACCCGGCACCGGCUUCCUCACGACUUCGCCAGGCGCGGCGCCGCAUCGCUCCUCUGUGGCUCCGCCUCGCUCGCUUCCUCGACCACCGCCCAGCCUAGCCACGAGGUCGUCGGGUGCGCCCGCUGCCCGACUAGGCGCCGAGCAAGGCAGCAGCCAGCAAGCUCGUGCUCGUGGAGAUGGAGGGAGGAGGCCAAGGAGGCAACGGAAGAGGGGAGGAGGAGCUGGUGCCUGGUAUUGAGGGGUCUGGGGCUGGCCAUGGUCGCGGUAGCGAACAGGUUAGCGCCGGCGGAGGAGCAAGCGCUCCUGCAGCUCCACCAACAUCUGGAUUCCACCGAGGCCGAGGUUCAAGCCUUCAAGGGGCGUCCCCAGGAGUGGCAUUGGCAAGAAAAAUGGUAUUAAAUCAUUACUUCGUUAUUAAUUUAGCAUCUCUUCUCUCAAAAAUUAAUUUAGCAUCUCAAAUUAUUAGCAACUUAUAAAUUCUAUUUUGACAAGUAAUUUUAUGCAGACUUGAAGAGUUAUUUUCCAACUUUGAGUAUUGGUUCGAGUUCAAUGUGAUAAUA